This 437-nucleotide long non-coding RNA is filed under the name Equus caballus (horse). RNAcentral describes it as "lncRNA (ENSECAG00000048540.1)". Lineage: Eukaryota; Metazoa; Chordata; Mammalia; Perissodactyla; Equidae. The record is from RNAcentral.
GGCACCUCCAUGUUGGACUUCUAGUUUCCAAAGCUGUGAGAAAGUGCAUAUCUGUUGUUUAAAUCAUCCAGCCUAAGUCCAGAGAGCCAAAUGAGUGUGGUGACGUUAUUUCCGGCCUCGUCAGCAUGUGUGUGAUCAACACGAUCACACAGAAGACCGCCGCAUCCAAGAAAGGAGCAAGGAACACAAAGACAUACUUCAGACUGAUUGAACAGAAGGCAAAAUUUUCAACGGACAUGAUAAUGCAACACUUCCAACAUGGAUACAUUUGUUAUAGGCCGAAAAGCUGCAUCAUAUAAUGAAAAUCAAAGAAUUGACUGAAAUUAAAAUUAGUAAAUAUCUCUAUGGUGAUCCACAGAGGAGAAGCAUAAUGUAAUAUGAAAAUCAAAGCACCUAGUUUUUAGUCUUGCUACAGAGCAAUCUUUAUCAAGAUACUC